AUUGAACGCUGGCGGCAUGCUUUACACAUGCAAGUCGAACGGCAGCACGAAAGAGCUUGCUCUUUUGGUGGCGAGUGGCGAACGGGUGAGUAAUGCAUCGGAACGUACCGAGUAAUGGGGGAUAACUGUCCGAAAGGAUAGCUAAUACCGCAUACGCUUUGAGAAGGAAAGUGGGGGCUCUUCGGACCUCACGUUAUUCGAGCGGCCGAUGUCUGAUUAGCUAGUUGGUGGGGUAAAGGCCUACCAAGGCGACGAUCAGUAGCGGGUCUGAGAGGAUGAUCCGCCACACUGGGACUGAGACACGGCCCAGACUCCUACGGGAGGCAGCAGUGGGGAAUUUUGGACAAUGGGCGCAAGCCUGAUCCAGCCAUGCCGCGUGUCUGAAGAAGGCCUUCGGGUUGUAAAGGACUUUUGUUAGGGAAGAAAAGGAUAGUGUUAAUACCAUUAUCUGCUGACGGUGCCUAAAGAAUAAGCACCGGCUAACUACGUG
Molecule: ribosomal RNA, 490 nt
Filed under: uncultured bacterium
Lineage: Bacteria
Description: partial 16S ribosomal RNA
Rfam family: Bacterial small subunit ribosomal RNA
Source: RNAcentral